CGGGGGGAGCAAGCGUUGUUCGGAUUUACUGGGCGUAAAGGGCGCGUAGGCGGCCAGCACAAGUCAGUUGUGAAAUCUCCGGGCUUAACUCGGAACGGUCAACUGAUACUGUGCGGCUAGAGUGCAGAAGGGGCAACUGGAAUUCUCGGUGUAGCGGUGAAAUGCGUAGAUAUCGAGAGGAACACCUGCGGCGAAGGCGGGUUGCUGGGCUGACACUGACGCUGAUGCGCGAAAGCCAGGGGAGCGAACGAGAUUAGAUACCCCGGUAGUCCUGGCCUUAAACGAUGGAUGCUUGGUGUCUGGAGUUUCAUAGUCUCCGGGUGCCGUAGCUAACGCGUUAAGCAUCCCGCCUGGGGAGUACGGUCGCAAGACUG
This 374-nucleotide ribosomal RNA is filed under the name uncultured organism. Its description in RNAcentral is "bacterial SSU rRNA". It matches the Rfam family "Bacterial small subunit ribosomal RNA", at positions 526 to 896 of the family's 1533-position model. The record is from RNAcentral.